CUAUUUAACUAGCAACAGGAGGAGAUGAAAUUAUGUUGGUGCAUUAAUUUUGGACAAAUGAAAUAUCAUGGGUAAUAGAGACAUGAGGUAAGAAGCCAGCAUUUUAUUUUCUAAUUUGUAAUAUGAAGAUCUUGGAAGAAGAUCUAGACUAGAUAAUCUGCAGUUUAAGAUGUUGGGUGAUGAUGUUAGAACCAAUAUUAAGAAGGAAUUCAUGGAAGAAGGGAUUAAAGGUACUCUCAUGGAUUGCAAAAGUGACAA
RNAcentral lists this long non-coding RNA (258 nucleotides) under Carica papaya (papaya). Its description in RNAcentral is "long non-coding RNA (CPAP_LNC014806)". The record is from RNAcentral. Lineage: Eukaryota; Viridiplantae; Streptophyta; Magnoliopsida; Brassicales; Caricaceae.